This 2926-nucleotide ribosomal RNA is filed under the name Enterobacter cloacae. RNAcentral's name for it is "23S ribosomal RNA". It matches the Rfam family "Bacterial large subunit ribosomal RNA". The record is from RNAcentral. Lineage: Bacteria; Pseudomonadati; Pseudomonadota; Gammaproteobacteria; Enterobacterales; Enterobacteriaceae.
GGGUUGUGAGGUUAAGCGACUAAGCGUACACGGUGGAUGCCCUGGCAGUCAGAGGCGAUGAAGGACGUGCUAAUCUGCGAAAAGCGCCGGCGAGGUGAUAUGAACCCUUGACCCGGCGAUGUCCGAAUGGGGAAACCCAGUGUGAUUCGUCACACUAUCGUUAACUGAAUACAUAGGUUAACGAGGCGAACCGGGGGAACUGAAACAUCUAAGUACCCCGAGGAAAAGAAAUCAACCGAGAUUCCCCCAGUAGCGGCGAGCGAACGGGGAGCAGCCCAGAGUCUGAAUCAGCUUGUGUGUUAGUGGAAGCGUCUGGAAAGUCGCACGGUACAGGGUGAUAGUCCCGUACACGAAAAUGCACAGGCUGUGAACUCGAAGAGUAGGGCGGGACACGUGGUAUCCUGUCUGAAUAUGGGGGGACCAUCCUCCAAGGCUAAAUACUCCUGACUGACCGAUAGUGAACCAGUACCGUGAGGGAAAGGCGAAAAGAACCCCGGCGAGGGGAGUGAAAAAGAACCUGAAACCGUGUACGUACAAGCAGUGGGAGCACCUUCGUGGUGUGACUGCGUACCUUUUGUAUAAUGGGUCAGCGACUUAUAUUCUGUAGCAAGGUUAACCGUAUAGGGGAGCCGAAGGGAAACCGAGUCUUAACUGGGCGUUAAGUUGCAGGGUAUAGACCCGAAACCCGGUGAUCUAGCCAUGGGCAGGUUGAAGGUUGGGUAACACUAACUGGAGGACCGAACCGACUAAUGUUGAAAAAUUAGCGGAUGACCUGUGGCUGGGGGUGAAAGGCCAAUCAAACCGGGAGAUAGCUGGUUCUCCCCGAAAGCUAUUUAGGUAGCGCCUCGUGAACUCAUCUUCGGGGGUAGAGCACUGUUUCGGCUAGGGGGCCAUCCCGGCUUACCAACCCGAUGCAAACUACGAAUACCGAAGAAUGUUAUCACGGGAGACACACGGCGGGUGCUAACGUCCGUCGUGAAGAGGGAAACAACCCAGACCGCCAGCUAAGGUCCCAAAGUCAUGGUUAAGUGGGAAACGAUGUGGGAAGGCCCAGACAGCCAGGAUGUUGGCUUAGAAGCAGCCAUCAUUUAAAGAAAGCGUAAUAGCUCACUGGUCGAGUCGGCCUGCGCGGAAGAUGUAACGGGGCUAAACCAUGCACCGAAGCUGCGGCAGCGACGCUUAUGCGUUGUUGGGUAGGGGAGCGUUCUGUAAGCCGUUGAAGGUGGCCUGUGAGGGUUGCUGGAGGUAUCAGAAGUGCGAAUGCUGACAUAAGUAACGAUAAAGCGGGUGAAAAGCCCGCUCGCCGGAAGACCAAGGGUUCCUGUCCAACGUUAAUCGGGGCAGGGUGAGUCGACCCCUAAGGCGAGGCCGAAAGGCGUAGUCGAUGGGAAACAGGUUAAUAUUCCUGUACUUGGUGUUACUGCGAAGGGGGGACGGAGAAGGCUAUGUUAGCCGGGCGACGGUUGUCCCGGUUUAAGCAUGUAGGCGGAGGUUCCAGGUAAAUCCGGUACCUUUUAACGCUGAGGUGUGAUGACGAGGCACUACGGUGCUGAAGUAACAAAUGCCCUGCUUCCAGGAAAAGCCUCUAAGCAUCAGGUAACACGAAAUCGUACCCCAAACCGACACAGGUGGUCAGGUAGAGAAUACCAAGGCGCUUGAGAGAACUCGGGUGAAGGAACUAGGCAAAAUGGUGCCGUAACUUCGGGAGAAGGCACGCUGAUAUGUAGGUGAAGCCCCUGCGGGUGGAGCUGAAAUCAGUCGAAGAUACCAGCUGGCUGCAACUGUUUAUUAAAAACACAGCACUGUGCAAACACGAAAGUGGACGUAUACGGUGUGACGCCUGCCCGGUGCCGGAAGGUUAAUUGAUGGGGUUAGCGGCAACGCGAAGCUCUUGAUCGAAGCCCCGGUAAACGGCGGCCGUAACUAUAACGGUCCUAAGGUAGCGAAAUUCCUUGUCGGGUAAGUUCCGACCUGCACGAAUGGCGUAAUGAUGGCCAGGCUGUCUCCACCCGAGACUCAGUGAAAUUGAACUCGCUGUGAAGAUGCAGUGUACCCGCGGCAAGACGGAAAGACCCCGUGAACCUUUACUAUAGCUUGACACUGAACACUGGUCCUUGAUGUGUAGGAUAGGUGGGAGGCUUUGAAGCGUGGACGCCAGUCUGCGUGGAGCCGUCCUUGAAAUACCACCCUUUAAUGGCUGGUGUUCUAACGUAGACCCGUAAUCCGGGUUGCGGACAGUGUCUGGUGGGUAGUUUGACUGGGGCGGUCUCCUCCCAAAGAGUAACGGAGGAGCACGAAGGUUAGCUAAUCCUGGUCGGACAUCAGGAGGUUAGUGCAAUGGCAUAAGCUAGCUUGACUGCGAGAGUGACGGCUCGAGCAGGUGCGAAAGCAGGUCAUAGUGAUCCGGUGGUUCUGAAUGGAAGGGCCAUCGCUCAACGGAUAAAAGGUACUCCGGGGAUAACAGGCUGAUACCGCCCAAGAGUUCAUAUCGACGGCGGUGUUUGGCACCUCGAUGUCGGCUCAUCACAUCCUGGGGCUGAAGUAGGUCCCAAGGGUAUGGCUGUUCGCCAUUUAAAGUGGUACGCGAGCUGGGUUUAGAACGUCGUGAGACAGUUCGGUCCCUAUCUGCCGUGGGCGCUGGAGAAUUGAGGGGGGCUGCUCCUAGUACGAGAGGACCGGAGUGGACGCAUCACUGGUGUUCGGGUUGUCAUGCCAAUGGCACUGCCCGGUAGCUAAAUGCGGAAGAGAUAAGUGCUGAAAGCAUCUAAGCACGAAACUUGCCCCGAGAUGAGUUCUCCCUGAGACUUAAAGUCUCCUGAAGGAACGUUGAAGACGACGACGUUGAUAGGUCGGGUGUGUAAGCGCAGCGAUGCGUUGAGCUAACCGAUACUAAUGAACCGUGAGGCUUAACCUUACAACGCCGAAG